This is a non-coding RNA of Tulasnella sp. 403, 95 nucleotides long. NCBI's taxonomy places the organism in Eukaryota, Fungi, Basidiomycota, Agaricomycetes, Cantharellales, Tulasnellaceae. The record is from the annotation of a GenBank genome assembly.
GUCGCUUUGCCGGAGUGGUUAACGGGUUCGCCUGCUAUUUAUAGCUGUCCAGCGGAUGCACUAUGUGCGCGAGUGUUCGAAUCGCUCAGGCGACG